UGCUCGGCCAUUAACCUUGACCCCUCCCCCCACCCUCCGGGUCCGCCAGAGUACUACACGCACAAGCGUAAAACUCCAAGGACUUGACGGUAUCCUAACACCCUAGAGGAGCCUGUCCCCUAAUCGACACCCCACGCUAAACCUCACCCCCUUUAGCCCCAGUCAGCCUAUAUACCGCCGUCGAAAGCCCACCUCAUGAGAGCACCCCCGUGGACAAAAUAGCAAGCCCUCAAGCACGUCAGGUCAAGGUGUAGCUAAUAAGGGGGGAGACGAUGGGCUACACUCUCUAACCUAGAGCCCCGCAAGCCAUAUGAAACACACCCCAAAGAAGGAUUUAGCAGUAAACUUAACAAGCACUGUUAACUUGAAACUCCGCCCUAGGAUGCGUACAC
Molecule: ribosomal RNA, 392 nt
Filed under: Gonatodes astralis
Lineage: Eukaryota; Metazoa; Chordata; Lepidosauria; Squamata; Sphaerodactylidae
Description: partial 12S ribosomal RNA
Rfam family: Bacterial small subunit ribosomal RNA
Source: RNAcentral